AUGAGUCUUCGCCCAAAAGCCACUUGGAUCAUGCUUUCAGGUGGCGCCCAAGGAUGGGGCCGCGACCGAUCAGGUUGUUGGUGAGGUAAUGGCUCACCAAGCCUAUAACCGGUGCGGGCCGUGAGAGCGGGAGCCCGGAGAUGGGCACUGAGACAAGGGCCCAGGUCCUACGGGGCGCAGCAGUCGCGAAAACUUUGCAAUACACGAAAGUGUGACAGGGUCAUCCCGAGUGCCGACCGCUGAGGUUGGCUUUUACCCAGUCUAGAAAGCUGGGGGAAUAAGGAGAGGGCAAGUCUGGUGUCAGCCGCCGCGGUAAUACCAGCUCUCCGAGUGGUGUGGACGUUUAUUGGGCCUAAAGCAUCCGUAGCUGGCUGAACAAGUCCCCUGUUAAACCCACCGAUUUAAUCGUUGGCUUGCGGGGGAUACUGCUCGGCUAGGGGACGAGAGAGGCAGACGGUAUUCCCGGGGUAGGGGUGAAAUCCUAUAAUCCCGAGAAGACCACCAGUGGCGAAGGCUGUCUGCUAGAACGCGCCCGACGGUGAGGGAUGAAAGCUGGGGGAGCGAACCGGAUUAGAUACCCGGGUAGUCCCAGCUGUAAACGAUGCAGACUAGGUGUUUGGACGGCCACGUGCCGUUCUAGUGCCGCAGGGAAGCUGUUA
Molecule: ribosomal RNA, 659 nt
Filed under: uncultured archaeon
Lineage: Archaea
Description: bacterial SSU rRNA
Rfam family: Archaeal small subunit ribosomal RNA
Source: RNAcentral